This 95-nucleotide ribosomal RNA is filed under the name Bifidobacterium longum. The record is from RNAcentral. Lineage: Bacteria; Bacillati; Actinomycetota; Actinomycetes; Bifidobacteriales; Bifidobacteriaceae.
UGGCCCAGGUGAGACGCCCGGUCCCAUUCCGAACCCGGAAGCUAAGGCCUGGCACGGCGAUGGUACUGCACCCGACAGGGUGUGGGAGAGUAGCA